UACGUAGGGUCCAAGCGUUAUCCGGAAUCACUGGGCGUAAAGAGUACGUAGGCGGAUGUUUAAGUGCAAUGCGAAAUCCUGUGGCUCAACCAUAUGGACUGUAUUGCAUACUGGAUAUCUAGAGGAAUGCAGAGGCAAGUGGAAUUACCGGUGUAGCAGUGAAAUGCGUAGAGAUCGGUAGGAACACCAAUGGCGAAGGCAGCUUGCUGGGCAUUUUCUGACGCUAAGGUACGAAAGCGUGGGGAGCGAACAGG
RNAcentral lists this ribosomal RNA (254 nucleotides) under uncultured bacterium. Its description in RNAcentral is "partial 16S ribosomal RNA". It matches the Rfam family "Bacterial small subunit ribosomal RNA", at positions 524 to 776 of the family's 1533-position model. The record is from RNAcentral.